AAUGUUGCAUGUAAAUAAAUUAAUACAUGUAAGUAUAAAUUUUUUUCAAACGAAUAGCGAGCGACCAAGCAGUUAGGUUGGUCUGCAUUGGCCGCGACAGUCUGUAUGUUCUCAGUGCACUUUAAUCAUUAACUGGAUAAAUAUUGUCGCAAACUUUUCUUAGUAUUGAUUUUAUAUAAAUUAUGAUUGACAGUUAAAAAUUCGAUGUUGAUUGUAAACUUCAGUUUCUCAUUCGAUGGUGUUCGAGAUGCUUCGAUUUAUCGCCGGUUUACAAUACGGUACGAAUAUCAAUUAAAAAGAUGAAAUAUUUUAACAAUACAAAGUGAUGUUUCACUGUGAUGUGUAGUGAAUAAUAAAAAGAAAAUCCACGAAGAUUUAUAAUAGGGAAAUGAUAUUGGCAACGUAAAGAAAUAUUUCAGUUAGAAGCUAACCUACUGAAAUUUAAUAUUGAUACAUCUCGUUCAGAUUACAAAGUCCAAUUUCCCCUAUGUAUUACAAUAGAAUAUGUGCGGAAGAAACGUCUAAAAGGAGAUUCAGUUUAUCGUUGUAUAGCGAGAGAAUGUUGUAUGCGGCGCAAAGUAAUAGGAAUGUCAGCUCUAUAUUACAACGUGUCCAACGAAGCAUUGUGUUUGAAGGAAUGCGUUCUGACUGAGCCACGCUUUCUAAGUAUUUUCAAACUUCUUUUUUCACAUGUAUUUCCUCCAUCAUAUAAUCGGUUACGAAGUAUCAAUAAAUAGUUCAUUU
This is a long non-coding RNA of Apis dorsata (giant honeybee), 744 nucleotides long. RefSeq lists it as uncharacterized. The record is from RefSeq and is a predicted model, not a curated record. NCBI's taxonomy places the organism in Eukaryota, Metazoa, Arthropoda, Insecta, Hymenoptera, Apidae. The transcript has 3 exons.